This 266-nucleotide small nuclear RNA is filed under the name Erinaceus europaeus (western European hedgehog). RNAcentral describes it as "7SK RNA". It matches the Rfam family "7SK RNA". Rfam says of the family: 7SK was discovered as an abundant small nuclear RNA in the mid-70s but a possible function has only recently been suggested. Lineage: Eukaryota; Metazoa; Chordata; Mammalia; Eulipotyphla; Erinaceidae. The record is from Rfam by way of RNAcentral.
GCAUGUGAGGGAGAUCUGGUUGUGGCAUCUAUCCUCCACCCAUUGCCAGGACUGACUCAGCCAAUUUGGCUAGCUCAGCUCCUUCUGCCCCCUCCUCCUCAAGUUGUAAUCUCUGUCAAAGAGAAUGAACUCUCCUAAAUAGAGAUGAACCAGUCUGCAGUUGAAGUCGAGUAGCUGCACUCCACUGCUAGAACUACCAAACAAGCUUUCUUUUUGUACCAGAUUAGAAAAAAAAAAUUUAAAAAUUGUAUAGUCAUGGAUCCUUU